RNAcentral lists this long non-coding RNA (1512 nucleotides) under Sus scrofa (pig). RNAcentral describes it as "lncRNA (ENSSSCG00030062822.1)". Lineage: Eukaryota; Metazoa; Chordata; Mammalia; Artiodactyla; Suidae. The record is from RNAcentral.
CGGGGCUGCUGGCACGUGUCCCUGACAGCGUGCGUGUGUGUAUGUGGCCCUGCGUGUACCUUGUGCACGUGUGUAUGUGUGUGCGUGUGCAUGUGUACGUGUGUGUGUACGUGUGUGUGUGUGUGUGUGUGUCCCCAGGCACACAACAGGCAGAGAAAGGGCAGAGUGUGAAGUCUGCUUUCUUCCUCCGGGGUUGUCAGCUGCAGUUCCCUCCACCCCGCCUUGGGGGUGAGUCUGAAAGAAAUGAGGUGGGUGCAGCAAUAAGCCUUUUUUGUGGCUUCGCCCACGGCAGGCACAAGUUCCCAGACCAGGGACGGAACCCGCGCCACCGCAGAAACCAGAGCCAGCGCAGUGACAGUGUCUCCUCCACCUGCCGAGCCGCCAGGGAACUCCCACUGAGACUUAAAAGCUUAAAAGCGGGAAGCACCCUCUGCGUUCUUCUUAGGGUGUGACAUCCGGGCAGAUGUCAGGCCUGGUGAGAGCUGCUGUCAAACUCCUUUGCAAGGCUGGGGGCAGGCGGUGUCCUGUGUGCUCAGGACACGUGGGGUCUGGCCCCACUGUGGCCGGACCCCGAGCUCCUGCGAGUCUGGCGGCUGCAUCCUCCUAUGCCCCCAGCCCAGAAGCUGAGUCUCCAGAAGCUCCCCAGGCCUCGUCGAGGUCCAGGCAGAGGAACAGGAUUAGGAUUGAGCCCCCGAGGCCCCAGACCUCAGCUUCCUGCACAAACCACAUGACCUGGGGGGUUGAGGGGCUCGAGUCAAGACCCGCAGCAGAUCAGGAAAAGGCCUCGUGCUGUCUGGUUCUGAGCAGACUCGAUGGAGGUGAAUCAGAGCUCUGGAAAUUACUCCUUAAGUUGCGGUCUUCGGUCUCCGUUGCCUGACACUCGUAAAGUUAGUUUUACAAGCAGCCUAAACUCCCCUUUGCAAUGAUCGGCCGAUGGUGACCAGGCAUUUGCCUAGAUUUUUCUCUCCUCUAAAGGCGGGAUUCCAUCUCUGUACAAUCUGUGAAUUGUUCCCAGCGAGAUGGACCUCAUUUUGUCUCGCACCCCCACUGGCAACGCCAGGGGCUGUUGUGGAUGUGGUUUGGAGACCUGCGUCCAAGCAAUAAAAAUGAAUCUCCCCUGUGACCGUCUGGACGACGUGAGCAGAUCCCUCGUCUGGUUUUAAUGGGAGCGGGAAAUCACUAACAGAUGGCAGUGGCGCUCACAGGCUCCCCGCCUAGAACCCUUUCUGACGGCAGCUCGCCCCCCGCACGUGCGUCCCAGACGUGGGCUAUUUGCAGGACGCCUGGCCCCCCGCGAUGCUAAAUGUGUAGCAGCAGGGGGGCUGCGUGUGUGCCGGCUGAGGUCAUGGUUAUUCCUUUCGAGGAGAGGCGUUUGGUUUAUAAAACCCCAGCGACUCCACGGGGAGGGCCUUUCGGGGAAGAAAACCAGCCCGGGGUUCGCUUCCUGUUCCGACGCCGGUGGGAUCAGCGCUGACAUCACUGGCCCUGGACGGGCUCUGGGCGAAGUUGCCU